GAAGUACUAAAUAGCGUUUGCUCACAGUACGCGCUAGUCAGUUGUUAGUUGGCAGCUGUGGAAUACAGACAUCGAACGGCAGUUACUUACUGCUUGCAUGGCUACUGCCAACGAAACGGCGACUCAAAAAACAAACAGGAAGAGGUUACAGCAAAUGUUUAGAUCUGGAGACAAAGAUAUGAGCAUCCAAAUUUCGUUUUCAUACCAGCAGAAACAAAGGAAAUGAAAAUAUCAAGUAUAUCGCGUGCUUACGUAAGCAAUUAGUGGCGCUUUUGUUGUGGUAUUCGGUUGGCAAAGCGCACUUAUUAUACGCCCUAUCUGCUGGAUAGACAAUUUGUGUGUAUACUGAACGGCGCUUGCAACAACAAAGUUGUGCUUAAGAUUAUUUUUAUCUCAACGUUUUCUUGGCACAUGAAAAAUAGGCGUAACAAUGGUACUAUAGGUAGAUGAUUAUCGGGACAAACCUUACUACGUAUGCAGUUGGAAGAGCGGAAUUAGUAAUCGCAACAACAAAUGUUCACUAUAACACUACAAGCAAACUAUUUGCAAAAUAUACAAAUUAUGUACCUAUAAAACCAAUUAUUCACACCAAGCGUACACCUAUGUGUAUAGAUUUACUUUAGAACAAAGUCAACAGAGUCGUAUUUGUGGUGUUUAAUACUGAUACGCUAAUUGGUGGAUAGUACUAUACCCAUAUACAUAAUUAUAUUUUCGCGAUAGUUAAAAUUUGUUGAAAAUGUCUACAAACUACGUUCCGAGAAUGUAGGAAUUAAGUCAGAUUAGAAUAUAAACAAUCACUGCACAUCAGACGAAUAUUGUUGCCAGAUCAGACAAAAUGUUUUUUGGCAUUUAUAUUGACAUUUGAUCGCUUAAUAUAUUGUGUAACAAUUAUUAUCAUUUUCACUUGUCAAUUUAUACCACGAAGCUUCAGAUCAUAGAACAUUUCAUGAAAUACACUUAAAUUCAGCGUUUCCUAUUUUA
Molecule: long non-coding RNA, 981 nt
Organism: Bactrocera dorsalis (oriental fruit fly)
Lineage: Eukaryota; Metazoa; Arthropoda; Insecta; Diptera; Tephritidae
Exons: 2
Source: RefSeq, a predicted model, not a curated record